Molecule: ribosomal RNA, 497 nt
Filed under: uncultured bacterium
Lineage: Bacteria
Description: partial 16S ribosomal RNA
Rfam family: Bacterial small subunit ribosomal RNA
Source: RNAcentral
GACGAACGCUGGCGGCGUGCCUAAUACAUGCAAGUAGAACGCUGAAGAGAGGAGCUUGCUCUUCUUGGAUGAGUUGCGAACGGGUGAGUAACGCGUAGGUAGCCUGCCUUGUAGCGGGGGAUAACUAUUGGAAACGAUAGCUAAUACCGCAUAACAAUGGAUGACACAUGUCAUUUAUUUGAAAGGGGCAAUUGCUCCACUACAAGAUGGACCUGCGUUGUAUUAGCUAGUAGGUGAGGUAACGGCUCACCUAGGCGACGAUACAUAGCCGACCUGAGAGGGUGAUCGGCCACACUGGGACUGAGACACGGCCCAGACUCCUACGGGAGGCAGCAGUAGGGAAUCUUCGGCAAUGGGGGCAACCCUGACCGAGCAACGCCGCGUGAGUGAAGAAGGUUUUCGGAUCGUAAAGCUCUGUUGUAAGUCAAGAACGAGUGUGAGAGUGGAAAGUUUACACUGUGACGGUAGCUUACCAGAAAGGGACGGCUAACUACGUG